UUCCAGGUCAUCAAUGGUUUUCUCCAACUUUGCCACAGAUCUUUCAGCAAACUCUGCUCGGGUCUCAGCCUCCUUCAGCUUCUCCUCCGGAAGUUUGAUCUCUUCUUCAAAUUUGUCCUCUUUGGUGGAAUCCUCCUCCUCCGAGACUAUCGAGACUAUGGGCGACUUGAGGGAUUGGUCCACGGUUCGAAGCUCCUCCUCCAGCUGCCUGGUUCUGCUCUCAGCCACCUCGGCUCUCUCUUCAGAGCGCUCCAGCUCUCCUUCCAGGAUCACCAGCUUCCUGGCCACCUCCUCAUAUUUGCGUCUGAGUUCUCAGUGAUGUGCUUGGCUUCCUUCAGCCGCAUCUCUUGCUGCUUCAUCUUUUCCUCGUCCUUCAUGGCCCGGUUUUCAAUGAUCUUCAUUCCUCUCUUGCUCUCAUCAGCGGCUUUCUCAGCCUCCUCCAGCUUUUGCAAGGCUGAGAGUCAGGUGCUCCUGUGCCCGAUUCAACUCCUCCUCUAUGAGCUGAAUGCGGCGGUUCAGAGAAGCCACAUUACUUCAGCGUCGGUGGCCUUCUUCUUGGCCUGCUCCAGUUUCUCCUGGGCAUCCGUCACAGACUCAGGAGUACUUUUCUACCUCAUCCCCUGUCCCCUUCAGCUUCUUCUGGAGGCCCGGCUGCUCUUCCUCCAGCUGCUUGCUUCAGUCUUCAGCUUGCUUCUUGUCAGCGUCGACCUGCUCCGUGUGGUUGAUGCUACUCUCCUUGUCUAGUUUCAGCAUCUGCAUCUUUUUCUUUCUUUCUUUCUUUCUUUCUUUCUUUCUUUCUUUCUUUCUUUUCUUUUCUUUUUUUUUUUUU
This 829-nucleotide long non-coding RNA is filed under the name Rattus norvegicus (Norway rat). RNAcentral describes it as "long non-coding RNA NONRATT016240". Lineage: Eukaryota; Metazoa; Chordata; Mammalia; Rodentia; Muridae. The record is from RNAcentral.